This is a long non-coding RNA of Sitophilus oryzae (rice weevil), 829 nucleotides long. RefSeq lists it as uncharacterized. The record is from RefSeq and is a predicted model, not a curated record. The transcript is spliced from 3 exons. Lineage: Eukaryota; Metazoa; Arthropoda; Insecta; Coleoptera; Curculionidae.
UAGACCUUUCCCGUUAAUCGAAAACAGCGGUCAUAAUGCGCGCGCAUGAAGUUAAGUUUGCUAGACUGAAAGAUCGUAGGUCCUAGCUUGUUGCAUGUGGCUUGUCAUCCGUAUUUGUCAAUUUUGUUUUGUUUUGGAGAUAAAGUUUGGUUAGAGUUUUCUUCGAACAUUAUUUCUUGGUUUUUAUAUUUGUUUUAUUAUUUUGCGUACGCUUUACGCAGUUUUAGUGCAUUUAAAAUGUGGACCAAUCACAUUUAAAAACCUCAUACUUUAUGUAUAGUUUUUAUGUCAAGUCCACAUUUAUGCAUACAAGAAUGUCAUUGUUCUUGUGAAGUUGGUUCAUCCCAGUCUUCCCAUCAUUUGCUGGGUUUAGAAUUUUAUUUGCAAGACAUUAUAUUAAGAGUAGAAUAUGAAACUCCCGAGCACAUUGCUUCAACAUCCCAAGAUAUGAUAUAGAAUAAGCCACGUGGGACAAAAGUAAUUCCUGAAGAUGCAAGGUAUCUCACAUUCCAAAAACCUACAAAUAUUUUGAGAAGGAAGGCCCCCGUUGUAACAAAAAUUGCUAUUCAUAGCACUUCUGCGAUGUCGAAUGAACAAGCAGAUGAUUUGCCCACAAAAUUACAGAAAUUAGAGAGAAGAGAACCUUUUUAAAAGAUUGAUAAGGGCAUACCUUUAUCUUUUUUUUAUUUCUACAGAGAAUACCAAUCCAGAAAUUACUAUUUUUGGUCAACAAAAUAGAGGAGGGAAAGAUAUUGCUAAUGAUGAUAUGCCAGUUAAUCUACCCAUAUUAAAUACUAUCACUAGAAAUAUUUUAAUUAGCUGCCUUUUG